GCUUGUCUCAAAGAUUAAGCCAUGCAUGUCUAAGUAUAGUACCUUAUACUGCGAAACUGCGAAUGGCUCAUUAAAUCAGUUAUAAUUCAUUUGAUGGUACUUACUACUCGGAUAACCGUAGUAAUUCUAGAGCUAAUACGUGCGUAAAUCCCGACUUCUGGAAGGGACGUAUUUAUUAGAUAAAAGGCCAGCCGGGUUUCGGCCCGUUCUUUGGCGACUCAUGAUAACUUCACGAAUCGCAUGGCCUUGUGCCGGCGAUGUUUCAAUCAAAUAUCUGCCCUAUCAACUUUCGAUGUUUGGGUAUUGGCCAAACAUGGUUGCAACGGGUAACGGAGGGUUAGGGCUCGACCCCGGAGAAGGAGCCUGAGAAACGGCUACUACAUCCAAGGAAGGCAGCAGG
This 400-nucleotide ribosomal RNA is filed under the name Chlamydomonas raudensis. Its description in RNAcentral is "partial small subunit ribosomal RNA". It matches the Rfam family "Eukaryotic small subunit ribosomal RNA", at positions 30 to 432 of the family's 1831-position model. The record is from RNAcentral. Lineage: Eukaryota; Viridiplantae; Chlorophyta; Chlorophyceae; Chlamydomonadales; Chlamydomonadaceae.